RNAcentral lists this ribosomal RNA (253 nucleotides) under uncultured bacterium. RNAcentral describes it as "partial 16S ribosomal RNA". It matches the Rfam family "Bacterial small subunit ribosomal RNA", at positions 524 to 776 of the family's 1533-position model. The record is from RNAcentral.
UACGUAGGUGGCAAGCGUUGUCCGGAUUUAUUGGGUUUAAAGGGUGCGUAGGCGGUUCUAUAAGUCAGUGGUGGAAUCCGGCAGCUUAACUGUCGAUGUGCCAUUGAUACUGUAGGACUUGAGUACUGAUGAGGUAGGCGGAAUUGACGGUGUAGCGGUGAAAUGCUUAGAUAUCGUCAAGAACACCGAUAGCGAAGGCAGCUUACUAAGGAGUAACUGACGCUGAUGCACGAAAGUGUGGGGAUCAAACAGG